This 548-nucleotide ribosomal RNA is filed under the name uncultured bacterium. Its description in RNAcentral is "bacterial SSU rRNA". It matches the Rfam family "Bacterial small subunit ribosomal RNA", at positions 355 to 896 of the family's 1533-position model. The record is from RNAcentral.
UGGGGAAUAUUGCGCAAUGGGGGGAACCCUGACGCAGCCAUGCCGCGUGAAUGAAGAAGGCCUUAGGGUUGUAAAGUUCUUUCGGUAUUGAGGAAGGUUGAUGUGUUAAUAGCACAUCAAAUUGACGUUAAAUACAGAAGAAGCACCGGCUAGCUCCGUGCCAGCAGCCGCGGUAAUACGGAGGGUGCGAGCGUUAAUCGGAAUAACUGGGCGUAAAGGGCACGCAGGCGGUUAUUUAAGUGAGGUGUGAAAGCCCCGGGCUUAACCUGGGAAUUGCAUUUCAGACUGGGUAACUAGAGUACUUUAGGGAGGGGUAGAAUUCCACGUGUAGCGGUGAAAUGCGUAGAGAUGUGGAGGAAUACCGAAGGCGAAGCNAGCCCCUUGGGAAUGUACUGACGCUCAUGUGCGAAAGCGNGGGGGAGCAAACAGGAUUAGAUACCCUGGUAGUCCACGCUGUAAACGCUGUCGAUUUGGGGGUUGGGGUUUAACUCUGGCGCCCGUAGCUAACGUGAUAAAUCGACCGCCUGGGGAGUACGGCCGCAAGGUUA